Molecule: ribosomal RNA, 108 nt
Filed under: Salvator merianae (Argentine black and white tegu)
Lineage: Eukaryota; Metazoa; Chordata; Lepidosauria; Squamata; Teiidae
Source: RNAcentral
UAUUAGGCUACCCCUUGAUGAUUGUAUCCAAUCUUGGAAGUUAAACAGAGUCAGUCCUGUCUAAUACUUGGAUGGGAAACUGCCUGAGAAUACAAGAUAGUAUAAGCU